This 211-nucleotide unclassified non-coding RNA is filed under the name soil metagenome. RNAcentral describes it as "partial contains 5.8S ribosomal RNA, internal transcribed spacer 2, and large subunit ribosomal RNA". The record is from RNAcentral.
AACGAGGCCGACCUGCGGCUGAGUUACCUGCGGAAGGAUCAUUACCGAGUUUACAACUCCCAAACCCCUGUGAACAUACCACUUGUUGCCUCGGCGGAUCAGCCCGCUCCCGGUAAAACGGGACGGCCCGCCAGAGGACCCCUAAACUCUGUUUCUAUAUGUAACUUCUGAGUAAAACCAUAAAUAAAUCAAAACUUUCAGCAAUGGAUCU